AAAGAAAGAGGGGGGCAUGCCUAACACAUGCAAGUCGAACGAGACCUUCGGGUCUAGUGGCGCACGGGUGCGUAACGCGUGGGAACCUGCCCUUAGGUUCGGAAUAACUCCCCGAAAGGGGUGCUAAUACCGGAUAAUGUCUUCGGACCAAAGAUUUAUCGCCUUUGGAUGGGCCCGCGUUGGAUUAGCUAGUUGGUAGGGUAAAAGCCUACCAAGGCGACGAUCCAUAGCUGGUCUGAGAGGAUGAUCAGCCACACUGGGACUGAGACACGGCCCAGACUCCUACGGGAGGCAGCAGUGGGGAAUAUUGGACAAUGGGCGAAAGCCUGAUCCAGCAAUGCCGCGUGAGUGAUGAAGGCCUUAGGGUUGUAAAGCUCUUUUACCCGGGAUGAUAAUGACAGUACCGGGAGAAUAAGCUCCGGCUAACUCCGUG
RNAcentral lists this ribosomal RNA (433 nucleotides) under uncultured bacterium. RNAcentral's name for it is "partial 16S ribosomal RNA". It matches the Rfam family "Bacterial small subunit ribosomal RNA", at positions 31 to 507 of the family's 1533-position model. The record is from RNAcentral.